This 1221-nucleotide long non-coding RNA is filed under the name Erythranthe guttata (spotted monkey flower). RNAcentral describes it as "long non-coding RNA (EGUT_LNC002025)". Lineage: Eukaryota; Viridiplantae; Streptophyta; Magnoliopsida; Lamiales; Phrymaceae. The record is from RNAcentral.
CCACCAAUAACGAAACGAUGUCGUGGCAAUCGUACAUAGACGACCACUUGAUGGCCGAAGUCGACGGCAACCACCUCACCUCCUCCGCCAUCCUCGGCCACGACGGCAGCGUUUGGGCUCAGAGCGCCGCCUUCCCUCAGGUUUUAUUUUUUUCUCUCUUCCUACUUUUUUUUAAAUCGAUUGAAUUUGCGGAUCUGAUUGAUUGACGGAUGCUUGCCUUUUAACUUGAUUGUACUCCGUUUGAGAAUUGAGAUUGAUCUGAUUGGAGAUAGAUUUAUUCGAUUUGAUUGAUUCUGUGGUUUGAUUUAGUGCUCGGAGUUGUUAGAUCCAACUGUAAUUUGAAUUUUUGUAGUUGCUUUUGCUUGGGUAUAUUCGUUGCUGUUUGAAUUUGCCCGAUCUGGUUGAUGAAUAUUUAGUUUACCUUGAUUUUGUGCCGUUUUGAACUUGAUUUGACUUGUGAGAUCCGUUUAGUUUGUAGCUGAUGGUUUCGAUUUUUGUUGUAUUUUGGUUUUUAAGUUCUUAGUAUUCGUUGUAGUUGGAUCCAGCUAUUGGUUGAUUUUUCUUUUCUGUUGUUUUGAUCGGUUAUAUUCGUUGUUUGAUAAAUUAGAAGUUUUUGAUUUUGUUUAUAUGCGUUUGGUAGGGUCGAAAAGCCGUUUAUUGCUUGAUAUUAGAUCAUAUUCCUCUCUUAAAUUCUUUGAUUAGGGUUAUCAGUUUAUUCUUUGAUGCACAUAAAAUAUCUGCUAAAAUAAAAUAAAUAAAAAAAUAAAAAAUGUUUGAAUAAAAACAAACCUUUUAAAAUAAAUAAUUAAAAAGUCGUAGAUGAUCUUUUCGUGUAAUUGCUCCCUAAUUUCAAUAAUGUACUAUUUGAUUGAUUUUAUUGUCCUGUUUACGUAUGAAUUCAAUGCUGGUGCAGUUGAAGCCCGAGGAGGUAACAGGUAUCAUGACUGACUUUGAUACUCCCGGCUCGUUAGCUCCGACUGGAUUGUACAUUGGGGGAGCCAAGUACAUGGUGAUUCAAGGUGAACCUGGAGCAGUCAUUAGAGGGAAGAUGGUAUUUCGAUCUAAUCUCUUUCUAAUUUACUUAAUUUCUUGUUAAUUCUGUAUUAGUUUUGCUAAUGGCUUCUAGUAGCAAAGGGCAAGAAUCAAGAUAAUGGUGUGUUUGUCAAUUAGUUAUAUGAAAACUUAUGUUAACUUAUUUUUUUAAAAUGAAUAUAUAUUUUU